This 201-nucleotide unclassified non-coding RNA is filed under the name Hevea brasiliensis (rubber tree). Lineage: Eukaryota; Viridiplantae; Streptophyta; Magnoliopsida; Malpighiales; Euphorbiaceae. The record is from RNAcentral.
GGUAGUUCGAAGUGGAUGUGCAUGGACUAGAGUUGCUUGUGUAGCUAGAAGGGCAAUUGUGACAACUGUUGUACAUAUUUAGGAGGCACAAUCCAGCAACACUUUUUAGGUUGUUAUCCAAGCUUAGAUGAUCUAAUAUCAUUGCCAAUUUCCAUCCCUUGGCAUUAAUUUCAGAAUCAAACUGUUUAUCAGAAGUAUUGG